UACGUAGGGUGCGAGCGUUGUCCGGAAUUAUUGGGCGUAAAGGGCUCGUAGGCGGUUUUGUCGCGUCGGGGAGUGAAAAACCUUUGGGCUUAACUCAGGGCUUGCUUUUCGAUACGGGGCAGACUAGAGGUAUGCAGGGGGGAGAACGGAAUUCCUGGUGUAGCGGUGAAAAUGCGCAGAUAUCAGGAGGAACACCGGUGGCGAAGGCGGUUCUCUGGGCAUGAUCUGACGCUGAGGAGCGAAAAGUGUGGGGGAGCGAACAGG
Molecule: ribosomal RNA, 264 nt
Filed under: uncultured bacterium
Lineage: Bacteria
Description: partial 16S ribosomal RNA
Rfam family: Bacterial small subunit ribosomal RNA
Source: RNAcentral